Molecule: ribosomal RNA, 716 nt
Filed under: uncultured Polaribacter sp.
Lineage: Bacteria; Pseudomonadati; Bacteroidota; Flavobacteriia; Flavobacteriales; Flavobacteriaceae
Description: bacterial SSU rRNA
Rfam family: Bacterial small subunit ribosomal RNA
Source: RNAcentral
AUAGCCUUUAGAAAUGAAGAUUAAUGCUCCAUGGUAUUGAUUAAUCGCAUGAUUAGUUAAUUAAAGAUUUAUUGGUAAAAGAUGGCUAUGCGUCCUAUUAGUUAGAUGGUAAGGUAACGGCUUACCAUGACAUCGAUAGGUAGGGGUCCUGAGAGGGAGAUCCCCCACACUGGUACUGAGACACGGACCAGACUCCUACGGGAGGCAGCAGUGAGGAAUAUUGGGCAAUGGAGGCAACUCUGACCCAGCCAUGCCGCGUGCAGGAAGACGGCCCUAUGGGUUGUAAACUGCUUUUAUACAGGAAGAAACACUGGUAUGUAUACCAGCUUGACGGUACUGUAAGAAUAAGGACCGGCUAACUCCGUGCCAGCAGCCGCGGUAAUACGGAGGGUCCGAGCGUUAUCCGGAAUCAUUGGGUUUAAAGGGUCCGCAGGCGGUCAAUUAAGUCAGAGGUGAAAUCCCAUAGCUCAACUAUGGAACUGCCUUUGAUACUGGUUGACUUGAGUCAUAUGGAAGUAGAUAGAAUGUGUAGUGUAGCGGUGAAAUGCAUAGAUAUUACACAGAAUACCGAUUGCGAAGGCAGUCUACUACGUAUGUACUGACGCUGAGGGACGAAAGCGUGGGGAGCGAACAGGAUUAGAUACCCUGGUAGUCCACGCCGUAAACGAUGGAUACUAGUUGUUGGGCAUUAGCUCAGUGACUAAGCGAAAGUGAUA